This is a long non-coding RNA of Etheostoma spectabile (orangethroat darter), 89 nucleotides long. RefSeq lists it as uncharacterized. NCBI's taxonomy places the organism in Eukaryota, Metazoa, Chordata, Actinopteri, Perciformes, Percidae. The transcript is spliced from 3 exons. The record is from RefSeq and is a predicted model, not a curated record.
UGAGGAUGAAUCCUAAUGACUUUGGUGAUCCCCGACGUUUCCCCUACCACCACCUUGAGGUUUGCAUUUGUGGUUAUGUUGUUUUGUGU